RNAcentral lists this long non-coding RNA (299 nucleotides) under Panax ginseng (ginseng). RNAcentral describes it as "long non-coding RNA (PGIN_LNC006618)". Lineage: Eukaryota; Viridiplantae; Streptophyta; Magnoliopsida; Apiales; Araliaceae. The record is from RNAcentral.
UUGAAUAAUCUAGAAUAUAUUUGGUUUAGUUGCUAACAAGGCCUCCCGUAAACCAAAUUUAUUCUUCAUAAUGUCGUAAAACAUUUUGAUCUUCCGAUUCCUUCAAACGCAAGAAACUCUUUUGUCAUCUCCAUUGAUGUAUAUGACACAAAUGCUUGAAGUUUCCAUUUGUUCUUCUUGAUCUUGCUUACUAGCUUCUCACAUUUUACAUGCUUGUAUAAUUUCUUCUCCAUUUCACUAUUUCUGAACUCAUUUUGAUCAAAAUACUUCUCCAUAUUAACCCAUUCAAUACCUUCCAC